This is a small nucleolar RNA of Phragmites australis (common reed), 104 nucleotides long. RefSeq annotates it as small nucleolar RNA snoR99. The record is from RefSeq and is a predicted model, not a curated record. The transcript has a single exon. Lineage: Eukaryota; Viridiplantae; Streptophyta; Magnoliopsida; Poales; Poaceae.
AUGCCUUUGGGACGAACUGGUCCCUGAUAUUUGAUAAUCAUCUCCUUCACUUUGUCUGCUAAAACCUUUGCAUUUUUAGCUGAUCAUUUAUGGAUGAGAUAUCU